AGCGAACGCUGGCGGCAGGCUUAACACAUGCAAGUCGAACGCCCCGCAAGGGGAGUGGCAGAUGGGUGAGUAACACGUGGGAACGUACCCUUUGGUUCGGAAUAACUUGGGGAAACUCAAGCUAAUACCGGAUAAGCCCUUAUGGGGAAAGGUUUACUGCCGAAGGAUCGGCCCGCGUCUGAUUAGCUAGUUGGUGAGGUAAUGGCUCACCAAGGCGACGAUCAGUAGCUGGUCUGAGAGGAUGAUCAGCCACACUGGGACUGAGACACGGCCCAGACUCCUACGGGAGGCAGCAGUGGGGAAUAUUGGACAAUGGGGGCAACCCUGAUCCAGCCAUGCCGCGUGAGUGAUGAAGGCCUUAGGGUUGUAAAGCUCUUUUACCCGGGACGAUAAUGACUGUACCGGGAGAAUAAGCCCCGGCUAACUUCGUGCCAGCAGCCGCGGUA
This 446-nucleotide ribosomal RNA is filed under the name uncultured bacterium. RNAcentral describes it as "partial 16S ribosomal RNA". It matches the Rfam family "Bacterial small subunit ribosomal RNA", at positions 29 to 522 of the family's 1533-position model. The record is from RNAcentral.